This 487-nucleotide long non-coding RNA is filed under the name Sorghum bicolor (sorghum). RNAcentral describes it as "long non-coding RNA (SBIC_LNC003945)". The record is from RNAcentral. Lineage: Eukaryota; Viridiplantae; Streptophyta; Magnoliopsida; Poales; Poaceae.
AGGCCUUAAUAGUAUGGUCUUUGAUGAAUUGUCAAACUGAAAUUUAGGAUUUGUUUAGGGCAGUCACAAUGCAAGACUCUCACAGAGUCCAAGAUGGCUUUAACAGAUAAACUCUUUACAAUACUUUAUGCUGUAAAACAAGAGGAAGAAAAGAAUUAAUUACGUAUUAUUUAUAGUAUUUUGCUGAUGUGACAACAUAUUUAUUGAAGAGAGAUAAAAAAAAAAUAAAACUCCAAGUCUUAUUUAGACUCUAAGUCCACGACAUAAUAAAUAAAGACCGAGUGCCCUUACGCGGGUUGAAUCGUACAGUAUGUACCACGGUGUCGUGCGUGCGUAACAAUCCCGAGGCAGCACCCAGCGCGCUAGCAUACAUGCAUACAGGUUUGGAUCGACACGUGGGCACAUGGAUCCAAAUAUGCAACGCCAGCGGGGGACGGGGCAGCAUGAGCGCUGCCACUGUGCCUUUUUUUUGUACUACUACAGUAGG